This 1683-nucleotide long non-coding RNA is filed under the name Cyanistes caeruleus (blue tit). Its description in RNAcentral is "lncRNA (ENSCCEG00000002730.1)". The record is from RNAcentral. Lineage: Eukaryota; Metazoa; Chordata; Aves; Passeriformes; Paridae.
AAAAAAUCCAAAAAAAAUCACCAAAAAAAUCCCAAAAAAACCUCAAAAAAAUCCCCAAAAAAUCCCAAAAAAAUUCCCAAAAAUUCCCAAAAAAUCCCCCCAAAAAUUCCCAAAAAUCUCCCAAAAAAUCCCCAAAAAACCCAAAAAAAAAAAAAAAAUCCCCAAAAAAUCCCCAAAAAAAUCUCAAAAAAAUCUCAAAAAAAUCUCAAAAAUUCCCAAAAAAUUCCCAAAAAAUUCCCGAAUUUUUCCCUUCCCGUUUUUUAUUCCCAGGGUCCUCGUGGGGAUCGUGGGGAAAAAGGAGAAUCAAAAUUCCAAAAAUCCCCAAAAAAAUCCCAAAAAAUCCCCCAAAAAUCUCCAAAAAAUCUCCCAAAAAUCUCCAAAAUAUCUCCCAAAAAUUCACCAAAAAUCUCCAAAAAAAUCUCCAAAAAAUCCCCCCCAAAAUUCCAAAAAACCUCAAAAAAAUCUGAAAAAAAUCCCAAAAAAUUCCCAAAAAAUUCCCAAAAAUUCCCCAAAAAAUCUCCCCAAAAAUCCCCCAAAAAUCUCCCAAAAAUUCACAAAAAAUCUCCCCAAAAAAUCCCCAAAAAAACCCCAAAAAAUCCCCAAAAAUCCCCCAAAAAUCCCAAAAAAUUCCCAAAAAUUCCCCAAAAAAUCCCCCCAAAAAUCUCCCAAAAAUUCAAAAAAAAAACUCCCAAAAAAGUCCCAAAAAUCCCCAAAAAAAUCCCCCAAAAAUCUCCAAAAAAUCUCCCAAAAAUUCCCCAAAAAUCUCCCAAAAAUUCCCCAAAAAUCUCCCAAAAAUUCCCCAAAAAACCCAAAAAAAUCCACAAAAAAUCCCAAAAAAAUCCCCAAAAAUCCCCAAAAAAAUCCCCAAAAAAUCCCCAAAAAUCCCCCCAAAAAAUCCCCAAAAAAUCCCCCAAAAAACCCAAAAAAAUCCAAAAAAAAUCCCCAAAAAAUCCCCAAAAAUCCCCAAAAAAAUCCCCAAAAAAUCUCAAAAAUUCCCAAAAAAUUCCCAAAAAAUUCCCGAAUUUUUCCCUUCCCGUUUUUUAUUCCCAGGGUCCUCGUGGGGAUCGUGGGGAGAAAGGAGAAUCCGGAGCCUCCGGAGCCUCCGGAGCCGCGGGCGGGAAAGGCCCCCCCGGAGACGACGGCCCCAAAGGAAACCCCGUGAGACCCCAAAAAAUUCCCAAAAAAUUCCCAAAAAAUUCCCAAAAAAUUCCCAAAAAAUUCCCAAAAAAUUCCCCAAAAAUUCCCGGAAUUCCCAAACCUUUCCCAGAAAAUCCCGGGAUUUUUCCUGAAUUUUUGGGAAUUUUUGGGGAAUUUUUUUUUUAGGGUCCCGUUGGAUUCCCCGGAGAUCCCGGAGCCCCCGGAGAGAUCGGAGCCAGGGUGAGCCGGGAUUGGGGGAAUUUGGGGAAUUUGGGGAAUUUUGGGAGGGAAUUUGGGAAUUUUGGGGGGAAUUUGGGAAUUUGAGGGGAAUUUCGGGAAUUUUGGGGGAGAAUUUGGGGGAUUUGGGGGGGAAUUUUUGGAAUUUUGGGGGGGAAUUGGGGAAUUUGGGGAAUUUUGGGAAUUUGGGAGGGGAAUUUGGGGAAUUUGGGGGGGAAAUUUGGGAAUUUUGGGGAAUUUUGGGAGAAAUUUGGGGAAUUUGGGGGGGAAAUUUGGGAAUUUUUGGGGAAUUUUGGGAGAAAUUUGGGG